This 497-nucleotide ribosomal RNA is filed under the name uncultured bacterium. Its description in RNAcentral is "partial 16S ribosomal RNA". It matches the Rfam family "Bacterial small subunit ribosomal RNA", at positions 28 to 507 of the family's 1533-position model. The record is from RNAcentral.
GAUGAACGCUGGCGGCGUGCCUAAUACAUGCAAGUCGAGCGAACAGACGAGGAGCUUGCUCCUCUGACGUUAGCGGCGGACGGGUGAGUAACACGUGGAUAACCUACCUAUAAGACUGGGAUAACUUCGGGAAACCGGAGCUAAUACCGGAUAAUAUAUUGAACCGCAUGGUUCAAUAGUGAAAGACGGUUUUGCUGUCACUUAUAGAUGGAUCCGCGCCGCAUUAGCUAGUUGGUAAGGUAACGGCUUACCAAGGCAACGAUGCGUAGCCGACCUGAGAGAGUGAUCGGCCACGCUGGAACUGAGACACGGUCCAGACUCCUACGGGAGGCAGCAGUAGGGAAUCUUCCGCAAUGGGCGAAAGCCUGACGGAGCAACGCCGCGUGAGUGAUAAAGGUCUUCGGAUCGUAAAACUCUGUUAUUAGGGAAGAACAAAUGUGUAAGUAACUAUGCACGUCUUGACGGUACCUAAUCAGAAAGCCACGGCUAACUACGUG